UAGCGGGUGUGAGUCCCGUCCCGGUAGGCACCGGAGCGCCGGGUAGCAGGCCCCGGUUCGUCGUUGAGAGGCGGCGGGCUAAGCGGGGUGUCAAGAGCCUCUUUGGAGGGAGCAAGUGCGCGGGCCGUAGUGCCG
Molecule: non-coding RNA, 135 nt
Organism: Mycobacterium shinjukuense
Lineage: Bacteria; Bacillati; Actinomycetota; Actinomycetes; Mycobacteriales; Mycobacteriaceae
Source: Rfam